UGUGUUGGUACAAUAAUUGUCCAGACAUGACGGUUGGUUGGCUCGAUGGAACUCAAAAUAUUGGUUGCUCGAAAUCUUGGUUGUCUUGGUACUAUAAUUGUCUAGGCAUGAUGGUUGGUUGCCCCGAUGGGAUCCAAAAUAUUGGUUGCUCAAAAUAUUGGUUGUCUUGGUACAGUAAUUAUCUAGACAUGAUGGUUGCUUUGAUAUGUUGUUUCGAAAUAUGGCUUCUCUAAAUGAUAAUUGUCUAGACAAGAUGGUUAGUUUUCAUGAUAGAAUAAAAAUAAUGGUUGCUCGAAAUAUUGGCCGUCUUGAUACAAUAAUUGACCAAACAUGAUGGUUGUUUCUUGAUGGAAUCCAAAAUUUUGGUUGCUCAAAAUAUUAGUUGUCUUGUUACAAUAAUUGUUUAGGAUAAGAUCGGUUGCUUUGAUAUGUUGUUUCGAAAUAUGGUUGUCUUGAAAUAAUAAUUGUUGCGAAAUAUUGAUUGCCUUAUUACAAUAAUUGUUUUAAUACCAUGGUUGCUUAAAUAUUGAUUGUUUCAAAUUGAUUGUUGUUGCAAAAUUCCCAUCUUGGUUGCCUCAUAAUGAUAAUUGUUGUGAAAGAUUAGAUUCUUUGGUUAUUAAAUGUUUGGACAUGAAGGGGUUGCCUUCAUCUAUAAUUGUAUUGAAAUAUAUGUUGCCUCAAUUGUAAUUACAUCAUGAUUGCUUUAGUUUUUGAGAGUUGUCUUGAAAUAUCAGUCGUUUCCAUCGUAAUAUUUUUAUCCCGAUAUAAUUGUUCUUUAUGGUCUAAUGGGAUCAAGAAUUUUCAACUUAUUUUCAUUUUUAAGUAGACUUAUUGAAUAUUGAUUUGUUGCAUUUGAAUGAUAAUUAUUGUAAAAUGUUGACUUUCUUAUUAUAAUAGACAUAUAUAAUAGUUGUCUUAGUUCAAUAUGAUAAUUGUCUCAACAUAUCUAACAUAUUAAUUGUAUCAGUUGUAAUAUGAUGGUUGUUUACCAUGUUACGAUAGUUGUGUAAGGGCUGGAGGAGUACCUCGGAGUUUGGAAAUAAACUCAAGUAAGGACUGGUCAAGGCAGGACGUGUAAGAUUCAGUUUGGUUUUAGUCAUUAUUGAUGACCGAACUGAAUCGAACCCUCCGUUCCCAAAGAAGAGUGUCGAUGGCAGUGCCAUGGGAAGAGAGAAAGCAAUAGCAAGAGGGUAAAGAUGAACAAAAACUUUAUACCAUAGUGUCGACCGGUGUCUCCUAUGCAACCUCAAUUUCAACUAUUCAAAUUUGUUCGUAGAUAUACAAUGCGGUUAGAAGUUUCUUAAUGAUCAUUGUUACUAUUUUACUUAAUUUUUAAUUUACUCGGGUAGAUAUUGUUGUCGAUACUUGCAAUUUGUAGGUAUAAUA
This is a long non-coding RNA of Cucurbita moschata (crookneck pumpkin), 1386 nucleotides long. RefSeq lists it as uncharacterized. The transcript is spliced from 3 exons. The record is from RefSeq and is a predicted model, not a curated record. NCBI's taxonomy places the organism in Eukaryota, Viridiplantae, Streptophyta, Magnoliopsida, Cucurbitales, Cucurbitaceae.